Haliotis rubra (blacklip abalone) is the source of this 481-nucleotide long non-coding RNA. RefSeq lists it as uncharacterized. The record is from RefSeq and is a predicted model, not a curated record. Lineage: Eukaryota; Metazoa; Mollusca; Gastropoda; Lepetellida; Haliotidae. The transcript has 4 exons.
UUCUCGGAAACAGAUUGGCUGUCGCUAUAUAAUGUGCGAGGUGGUGUUCAAAACUCAUAUUUCACCGUGAAGCUUGCAGAUUGUUGAAGGCGUACACUCAAGUAUAUACUGCAAACAGAUUGUUGAAGGCGUACACUCAAGUAUAUACUGCAAACAGCAAUGUCUGACAGUGGAGGUCAAAAAGACUUGGACAACCAUGCCAAUCAGUGCAACCCAAACAACUCGGAAUACAGUGGCCACGAUUCGGGUUACUCCGGGACCGGCGACAAGGCCGACCUCGACAACCACGCCAACCAGUGCAACCCCAACAACUCCGAGUAUCAGGGCCACCAGUCAGGCUACGGUGGGUCUGGUGGCAAGUGAUGACGUGGCAGUCGCUGACUGGUUAGCACAGCCAAUGUAAACACGUGUGUGGAGCACGUGGCAUGGCGAACAGUAGUGAUUAUUCUGUGGCAUGGCUGUCCAGUCAAAAUAUUAAAAA